RNAcentral lists this small RNA (77 nucleotides) under Flavobacterium sp. TAB 87. Its description in RNAcentral is "Flavo-1 RNA". It matches the Rfam family "Flavo-1 RNA". Lineage: Bacteria; Pseudomonadati; Bacteroidota; Flavobacteriia; Flavobacteriales; Flavobacteriaceae. The record is from Rfam by way of RNAcentral.
CCCUAGCCCCGAUAGCAGCGGCAUCCUUUUGUCCCGAUUUUUUCGGACAAAAGAUACAGCGAAUAGCGGGAAUAGCU